ACACUUCUUGUCUAAGACAAGUGAAGAAACGCUGAAGAAACAAUAGUUUCCAAAAUGGAUCCGGACAAAGCUAGCCCGUUCCCCUCUACCCUCCCGGAGUCCCCAGGUCAAACGUCUCCCAGUACUGCUUUACUGCUGGGUCUGGUUGACUGCAGGAAAACACCGGGGCAGAGUGGAACUGAGAGAGGAGGAGGAGAAGAUAAGGAAGAUGGAGAUUUGUUUUCAUUAAGUAAGAACCAUGGGGACAGCCCUAACCGUUGCUCUCUCAGUGGGAGGGGCUUAUCAUAAGGGGAGCCUCAACAACAACAUGAUGCUGACAAGACGUCUCUCCAGAAGAGUCUCUCCAGAUCAGAACGUCUCAAUAAACACCAGCAGAGACUUGUAGGGAAGAAACCUCACCACCGCUGCUCUGACUGUGGGAAGAGUUUUACUAAACAGAGAAAAUUGGUCAUUCACCAGCGGAUUCAUGCUGGAGGAAGCCUUAUAGCUGUGAUAAGUGUGGGAAGAGUUUUGCCCAAGAUUUCACCGUGACCAAACACCGACUUAUACACACAGGGGAGAAGCCUUAUAGUUGUGAUCAGUGUGGGAAGAGCUUUAAUCAAUCAGCAGCCCUGAGCAGACACCAAUGCAUACACACUGGAGAGAGACAGGAGUAAGGUGUAUGUGGAAAGAGCUUUGCUCAAUCAGGGUCACUGAAAAAACACCAGAAAGCACAAACAUGUUUUCUUUCUUCUCCCUCCUCUCAGUCACCGGUUCAAGAUAUCUAAAUAAAGUUUGAACAGAAAACAUGUUGUAAAGAGUCAGCUCUGGAACCAUAUGUAUCAAGCUUCUUGGAGUAGGAGUGCUGUGGGUUGGCGGUGGGGGUGUUCAGAGCUGUAUCUUAUUUCAGUAACUCCUAUUAUCCAUUAAUUAAUUGUAUAAUGUAGAAUAAUGUUUCAACAAUACAAGGUGUGUAUUCAUGUAUUCAAUAGAUCAAUAAAUUAAAUCCAUUA
This is a non-coding RNA of Salmo salar (Atlantic salmon), 992 nucleotides long. The record is from RefSeq and is a predicted model, not a curated record. NCBI's taxonomy places the organism in Eukaryota, Metazoa, Chordata, Actinopteri, Salmoniformes, Salmonidae.